RNAcentral lists this ribosomal RNA (468 nucleotides) under uncultured bacterium. Its description in RNAcentral is "partial 16S ribosomal RNA". It matches the Rfam family "Bacterial small subunit ribosomal RNA", at positions 28 to 507 of the family's 1533-position model. The record is from RNAcentral.
GACGAACGCUGGCGGCGUGCUUAACACAUGCAAGUCGAACGGAAAGGCCCUGCUUUUGUGGGGUGCUCGAUUGGCGAACGGGUGAGUAACACGUGAGUAACCUGCCCUUGUCUUUGGGAUAACUUCACGAAACUGGGGCUAAUAUCCGAUAGGAGCUCCUGAUCCAUGGUGGGGGUUGGAAAGUUUCGGCGGUUGGGGCUGGACUCGCGGCUUAUGAGCUUGUUGGGCGGGUUGUGGCUUACCAAGGCUUCGACGGGUAGCCGGCAUGGGAGGGGAGCCGGCGACAAUGGGACUACGAUACGGCGCAGUCGCGUACGGGCGGCAACAGUCGGGAGUAUGACGCAAUAGGCGGGAGCCUGUUACAGCGGCGCUGGGUGCGUAAAGACGUGCUUCGGGUUGUAAACCGCUUUCGCCGGAGACGAAGCGUUAUUGACGGUAAUGAAUAAAGAAGCACCGGCUAACUACGUG